GUGUGUGUGUGUGUGUGUGUGUGUGUGUGUGUGUGUGUGUGUGUGUGUGUGUGUUUCCAGGGGGGCUAUGCUGCCUACAGGUAUACUCAGCCUGCUGCCGCCACAGCAGCUGCUGCAUUCGGUGACAGUUACGGACCAGUAUAUGCUGCGGACCCCUACAACCACCCACUUGCUCCAGCAGCCACAUACAGCAUUGGUGCCAUGAAUCCGUUUGCCCCGUUGGCUGAUGCCAAGACGAGGAGUCAUGCUGAGGACGUGGGGCUGGUGUUGUCCUCCCUGCAGGCUAGUAUAUACAGGGGAGGCUACAGCCGCUUCGCCCCAUACUAACCCACCAACCAACCUCCCUAAAACCAUACAACAACCAAUUACUACCCUACCAACCAACCAACCUCCCCACAACCAAACAACAUCCAAUCCUUUCUGACAGGGACACAACUGAACAACCAACCAACCACACAACCAACAAACCACACAACCAACAAACCAGUAUGUGAGUGAGACAGACAGAGAGAGAGAGAGACAGAGAGAGUGAGAGACAGAGAGAGAGAGAGAGAGAGAGACAGAGAGAGAGAGAGAGAGAGAGAGAGGGAGAGAGAGAGAGAGAGAGACACAGAGAAAGAACUUUGAGGCCUGGGUAUUGCAAUAUAUGCUGUUGAUCAUGAUUUUAGCAGCUCCUAAGAGAGAGGGAAGUAAGUCAACUAAAAGGAAGGACAUUUAUACCUCAGAUAUUGUGUGCUGUUCAUUUUGAUACAGUGGGAUUUUCAUUUGUAAAGGUUAGUAGAUUGUCCGUGUUGGUAGAGCUAUAGAAGAACUACUAGAUUUAAAACCUUACCAUUGUAAAACAACACAUUUCAACUGUUAGGGCUUCUUGAAAAGACAAACCAAUCCUGUAAAAUACAUCGUAGAAUGUGAUCCCGUUUUGUAAGAGUGUUUACAUGAUUGUAGGGUUCGGAUUUCUUUGACAUUCUCUCUGUCAGCGUCUACGUUGUUUCCUAGUUACUGGGGUUAGGAUUAGGAACGGGGUUAAAGUUAAGCACUGGGCAAGUGUUAGGAAUAGGGUUAAGGUUGGGGUUAGGUUAGGUUAGGAUUAGGGUUAAGGUUAGGAUUAGGAACGGCGUUAAAGUUAAGCACUGGGCAAGUGUUAGGGUUAGGAUUAGGGUUAAGGUUGGGGUUAGGUUAGGAUUAGGGUUAAGGUUAGGAUUAGGAACAGGAAUAAAGUUAAGGACUGGGCAAGUGUUAGGGUUAGGAUUAGGGUUGGGGUUAGGUUAGGAUCAGGGUUAAGGUUGUGGUUAGGUUAGGAUUAGGGUUAAGGUUAGGAUUAGGAACAGGAAUAAAGUUAAGGACUGGG
Molecule: long non-coding RNA, 1348 nt
Organism: Oncorhynchus gorbuscha (pink salmon)
Lineage: Eukaryota; Metazoa; Chordata; Actinopteri; Salmoniformes; Salmonidae
Exons: 4
Source: RefSeq, a predicted model, not a curated record